UAAGGAAUAUUGGUCAAUGCCCGCAAGGGUGAACCAGCCAUUCCGCGUGGAGGAUGAAGGCCCUAUGGGUUGUAAACUUCUUUUAGAUGGGAAGAAAAUGCUAGAUUUUUCUGGUACUGACGGUACCAUCAGAAUAAGCACCGGCUAACUCCGUGCCAGCAGCCGCGGUAAUACGGAGGGUGCGAGCGUUAUCCGGAAUUACUGGGUUUAAAGGGUGCGUAGGCGGAUGAUUAAGUCUAAGGUGAAAGUUUGUCGCUUAACGAUAAAAUUGCCUUGGAUACUGGUUAUCUUGAAUAAGGAUGAGGAUGGCGGAAUGUGGCAUGUAGCGGUGAAAUGCAUAGAUAUGCCAUAGAACACCAAUUGCGAAGGCAGCUAUCUGGUCUUUUAUUGACGCUGAGGCACGAAAGCGUGGGGAUCGAACAGG
Molecule: ribosomal RNA, 424 nt
Filed under: uncultured bacterium
Lineage: Bacteria
Description: bacterial SSU rRNA
Rfam family: Bacterial small subunit ribosomal RNA
Source: RNAcentral